GACGAACGCUGGCGGCGUGCCUAACACAUGCAAGUCGAACGAAAAGGCUCUGUUUUUGUUCGUCGCUCGAGCGGUGAUCGGGUGUGUAACACGUGAGUAACAUGCCCUUGACUUUGGGAUAACUCCAGGAAACUGGGGCUAAUACCGGAUAGCAGCUCCUGCUGCAUGGUGGGGGUUGGUAAGAUUCGGCGGUUGGGGAUGGACCCGAGGCGUAUCAGCUUGUUGGUGGGGUAGUGGCUUACCAAGGCUUUGAGGGGUAGCCGGCCUGAGAGGGGGACCGGCCCCAUUAGGAUGGGGAUGAGACCCGGACUCGAACGGGAGGCAGCGGUGGAGAGUAGUACACAAUAGGCGGGAGGCAGAUGCAACGACGCCGCGUGGGGGAUAGCGGGCUUCGGGUUGUAAAGUGAUUUCGCAUGAGAAGAGGAGAGAGUGACGGUAAUUGAUCAAGAAGCCCCGGCUAACUACGUG
RNAcentral lists this ribosomal RNA (468 nucleotides) under uncultured bacterium. RNAcentral's name for it is "partial 16S ribosomal RNA". It matches the Rfam family "Bacterial small subunit ribosomal RNA", at positions 28 to 507 of the family's 1533-position model. The record is from RNAcentral.